CGAGAUUCUUUGCAAACGAACCGUUUUGAUGGAACCUGCGAGAAAAAGGAAACAUUCCCCAGUGUGGGAACAUUUUGCUGUCAUUUCCCCAAAUAAGGUGUCCCUGAUGGUUAAGAUGCAGAAAGAAAAAAACCGGAACCCGUUUAUUGGACCGAAACACACAAAGCA
This is a long non-coding RNA of Syngnathus acus (greater pipefish), 168 nucleotides long. RefSeq lists it as uncharacterized. The record is from RefSeq and is a predicted model, not a curated record. Lineage: Eukaryota; Metazoa; Chordata; Actinopteri; Syngnathiformes; Syngnathidae. The transcript has 4 exons.